CCUACGGGAGGCAGCAGUGAGGAAUAUUGGUCAAUGGACGAGAGUCUGAACCAGCCAAGUAGCGUGAAGGAUGACUGCCCUAUGGGUUGUAAACUUCUUUUAUAAAGGAAUAAAACGAGGCACGUGUGCCUUUUUGCAUGUACUUUAUGAAUAAGGAUCGGCUAACUCCGUGCCAGAAGCCGCGGUAAUACGGAGGAUCCGCGCGUUAUCCGGAUUUAUUGGGUUUAAAGGGAGCGUAGAUGGGUUGUUAAGUCAGUUUUGAAAGUUUGCGGCUCAAACGUAAAAUUGCAAUUGUUACUGGCAGUCUUGAGUACAGUUGAGGUAGGCGGAAUUCGUGGUGUAGCGGUGAAAUGCUUAGAUAGCACGAAGAACCCCGAUUGCGAAGGCAGCUUACUAAGCUGUGACUGACAUUGAUGCUCGAAAGUGUGGGUAUCAAACAGGAUUAGAUACCCCAGUAGUC
Molecule: ribosomal RNA, 460 nt
Filed under: uncultured bacterium
Lineage: Bacteria
Description: partial 16S ribosomal RNA
Rfam family: Bacterial small subunit ribosomal RNA
Source: RNAcentral